RNAcentral lists this ribosomal RNA (664 nucleotides) under uncultured bacterium. RNAcentral's name for it is "bacterial SSU rRNA". It matches the Rfam family "Bacterial small subunit ribosomal RNA", at positions 1 to 663 of the family's 1533-position model. The record is from RNAcentral.
GGCUUAGAGUUUGAUCAUGGCUCAGGAUGAACGCUGGCGGCGUGCUUAACACAUGCAAGUCGAACGGAGUGCUCAUGACGGAGUUUUCGGACAACUGAAUGAGUUACUUAGUGGCGGACGGGUGAGUAACGCGUGAGGAACCUGCCUCGGAGUGGGGAAUAACAACCCGAAAGGGUUGCUAAUACCGCAUAAUGCAGUUGGGUCGCAUGGCUCUGACUGCCAAAGAUUUAUCGCUCUGAGAUGGCCUCGCGUCUGAUUAGCUAGUUGGCGGGGUAACGGCCCACCAAGGCGACGAUCAGUAGCCGGACUGAGAGGUUGACCGGCCACAUUGGGACUGAGACACGGCCCAGACUCCUACGGGAGGCAGCAGUGGGGAAUAUUGGGCAAUGGGCGCAAGCCUGACCCAGCAACGCCGCGUGAAGGAUGAAGGCCCUCGGGUUGUAAACUUCUUUUAUUCAGGACGAACAAAAUGACGGUACUGAAUGAAUAAGCCACGGCUAGCUACGUGCCAGCAGCCGCGGUAAUACGUAGGUGGCAAGCGUUAUCCGGAUUUACUGGGUGUAAAGGGCGUGUAGGCGGGACUGCAAGUCAGAUGUGAAAACCAGGGGCUCAACCUCUGGCCUGCAUUUGAAACUGUAGUUCUUGAGUGCUGGAGAGGCAAUCG